ACAAAAAAGGUAAUAGUUUAUGCCACCUUAUGUUUUUAAUUUUAUUUUACAUUUAUUUAAGGGUUGGCUGAAUUUUCAGCCCUAUAAUCGUUGCAAUCUCAACAUUUCACCUCUAAAUUUUUUGUCUCUAAAAAAUCAUAAAUAAAACUACAUGUAUUUUCGGAUUUGUUCUUAAAACUAUGCCUCCAAUUGAACCGAUCAGUUAACCGAUAAUAUUUUAUCCGGUUUGACUUACAUAUAAUGUUGAUCAAAAUUCAUUCAUUUUGACUCUAUUUUAUUCCAAUUUUGACCCCAAAAACAAAUAUAAAAAA
This 311-nucleotide small RNA is filed under the name Arabidopsis thaliana (thale cress). RNAcentral describes it as "ATSL097330". Lineage: Eukaryota; Viridiplantae; Streptophyta; Magnoliopsida; Brassicales; Brassicaceae. The record is from RNAcentral.